Molecule: unclassified non-coding RNA, 224 nt
Filed under: Athalia rosae (coleseed sawfly)
Lineage: Eukaryota; Metazoa; Arthropoda; Insecta; Hymenoptera; Athaliidae
Description: misc RNA ENSAEAG00005003927.1
Source: RNAcentral
UAAGAAGAAGAAGAAGAAGAAGAAGAAGAAGAAGAAGAAGAAGAAGAAGAAGAAGAAGAAGAAGAAGAAGAAGAAGAAGAAGAAGAAGAAGAAAAAAAAGCAGGAGGAAUAGAAGGUGAAGAAGGAUAAAUCCAUCACAUCACGUCCUGGACGUGUGUCCCCUACGGCUAUAGGAUAAGUAUACAUGUAUAACAUAUUAUGUGACCUAUACCACACGCACGUGU